Molecule: ribosomal RNA, 765 nt
Filed under: Triticum aestivum (bread wheat)
Lineage: Eukaryota; Viridiplantae; Streptophyta; Magnoliopsida; Poales; Poaceae
Description: partial small subunit ribosomal RNA
Source: RNAcentral
AUGUCGAUGAACACAAGAACAGUCUGCGCUCCAAACACCCGGAGCAGUGCGACGACUGGAUUACAUGUGAACACAUCAGGACUUUCAGCAGGUUGGUUGGAAACACAUCUCAGAGGUGACAACACUGUUUGUGAUGAGCUGUACUUGUUGUCCAGGGGACCAUCUUUGACUGUAUUGACUUACAAAGGAUACAAGAUAAAUGAGAAUACAUUUUACACGACCGCCCAAGAUCAAAAGAGCACCAACCAAAACAGCGGUGUCCGCUUUGAUGCAGCAACCGAGAGCGGAAAGGACACAUAUUAUGAUUACAUAGUGGACAUAUGGGAACUUGACUACGGACAUGUUUUUAAGGUCCCUUUGUUUAAGUGCAAAUGGGUCAAUCUGUCAGGAGGCGGGGUACAGGUAGACCCACAGUACGGAAUGACAACAGCAGAUCUGAAAAAUCUUGGGUACACUGACGAACCGUUCAUCCUAGCCAAUGAUGUGGCACAAGUUAUCUAUGUGAAGGACAUGUCUACCAAACCGAGACAAAGAAAAGAUAAGGAAGCGAAUACAUCAUAUGAUGAGCCAAAACGCCACAUAGUUCUUUCAGGAAAAAGGGACAUCCUAGGAGUGGAGGGCAAGACAAACAUGUCUGAAGAUUAUCAAAAGUUUCAUGAAAUUCCUCCCUUCAAUGUCAAGGUUGACCUAAGCAUCCUGAUAAAUGAUGAAGAUUAUCCAUCGUUAUGGCGCAAUAAGCAAAUGACACAAGCGAAGAAAAAGUGA